RNAcentral lists this ribosomal RNA (433 nucleotides) under uncultured bacterium. Its description in RNAcentral is "partial 16S ribosomal RNA". It matches the Rfam family "Bacterial small subunit ribosomal RNA", at positions 29 to 507 of the family's 1533-position model. The record is from RNAcentral.
AACGAACGCUGGCGGCAUGCCUAACACAUGCAAGUCGAACGAGACCUUCGGGUCUAGUGGCGCACGGGUGCGUAACGCGUGGGAACCUGCCCUUAGGUUCGGAAUAACUCCCCGAAAGGGGUGCUAAUACCGGAUAAUGUCUUCGGACCAAAGAUUUAUCGCCUUUGGAUGGGCCCGCGUUGGAUUAGCUAGUUGGUAGGGUAAAAGCCUACCAAGGCGACGAUCCAUAGCUGGUCUGAGAGGAUGAUCAGCCACACUGGGACUGAGACACGGCCCAGACUCCUACGGGAGGCAGCAGUGGGGAAUAUUGGACAAUGGGCGAAAGCCUGAUCCAGCAAUGCCGCGUGAGUCAUGAAGGCCUUAGGGUUGUAAAGCUCUUUUACCCGGGAUGAUAAUGACAGUACCGGGAGAAUAAGCGCCGGCUAACUCCGUG